UUGACCUCGGAUCAGGUAGGGAUACCCGCUGAACUUAAGCAUAUCAAUAAGCGGAGGAAAAGAAACCAACAGGGAUUGCCCCCAGUUAACGGCGAGUGAAGCGGCAAGAGCUCAAAUUUGAAAUUCUGGCCCCUCCGGGUCCGAGUUGUAAUUUGCAGAGGAUGCUUCGGGCGCGGUCCCCGUCUAAGUACCCUGGAACGGGUCGUCAUAGAGGGUGAGAAUCCGUCUGGACCGGUGGCCGUGUCCGUGUGAAGCUCCUUCGACGAGUCGAGUGUUUGGGAAUGCAGCUCUUAAAUGGUUGUUAAUUCAUCCUAAAGCCUAAUUUUUGCCCGAAGCCGAUUAGGCCCCAAGUAAGAUGGUCCAAAGGUUAAAAACCCUUUGAAAAAAAAAUUUAACCACCCCUUAAAUUUUUUAAAAGGAAAGGGCCUUCCGCCAAGCUUGCCGGCGGGGGUUCAGCCGGUCCUGGUCCCGUGUUACUUCCCCGGGGGCCGGCCAACCUUCGUUUGGGCCGUUGGUUCCAAAGGGCCCCCGAAAUUUGUUGCUCCCCCCGGGGCGUCUUAUAGCCGGAGGUGCAAUGCGGCCAGCCUGGACCGAGG
RNAcentral lists this ribosomal RNA (596 nucleotides) under Paecilomyces variotii. Its description in RNAcentral is "Byssochlamys spectabilis partial 28S ribosomal RNA". It matches the Rfam family "Eukaryotic large subunit ribosomal RNA", at positions 1 to 594 of the family's 3401-position model. The record is from RNAcentral. Lineage: Eukaryota; Fungi; Ascomycota; Eurotiomycetes; Eurotiales; Thermoascaceae.